This 433-nucleotide ribosomal RNA is filed under the name uncultured bacterium. Its description in RNAcentral is "partial 16S ribosomal RNA". It matches the Rfam family "Bacterial small subunit ribosomal RNA", at positions 29 to 507 of the family's 1533-position model. The record is from RNAcentral.
AAUGAACGCUGGCGGCAUGCCUAACACAUGCAAGUCGAACGAAGGCUUCGGCCUUGGUGGCGCACGGGUGCGGAACGCGUGGGAAUCUGCCCUUGGGUUCGGAAUAACAGUUAGAAAUGACUGCUAAUACCGGAUGAUGUCGUAAGACCAAAGAUUUAUCGCCCAAGGAUGAGCCCGCGUAGGUUUAGCUAGUUGGUGGGGUAAAGGCCUACCAAGGCGACGAUCCUUAGCUGGUCUGAGAGGAUGAUCAGCCACACUGGGACUGAGACACGGCCCAGACUCCUACGGGAGGCAGCAGUGGGGAAUAUUGGACAAUGGGCGAAAGCCUGAUCCAGCAAUGCCGCGUGAGUGAUGAAGGCCUUAGGGUUGUAAAGCUCUUUUAACCGGGAUGAUAAUGACAGUACCGGGAGAAUAAGCCCCGGCUAACUUCGUG